GGGGUUAUAGUAUAGCUUGGUCUAGUAUCGGCGGUUUGGGACCGCUGGGCCCAGGUUCAAAUCCUGGUAACCCCA
This 75-nucleotide transfer RNA is filed under the name Candidatus Woesearchaeota archaeon. RNAcentral describes it as "tRNA-Pro". It matches the Rfam family "tRNA". Rfam says of the family: Transfer RNA (tRNA) molecules are approximately 80 nucleotides in length. Their secondary structure includes four short double-helical elements and three loops (D, anti-codon, and T loops). Further hydrogen bonds mediate the characteristic L-shaped molecular structure. tRNAs have two regions of fundamental functional importance: the anti-codon, which is responsible for specific mRNA codon recognition, and the 3' end, to which the tRNAs corresponding amino acid is attached (by aminoacyl-tRNA synthetases). tRNAs cope with the degeneracy of the genetic code in two manners: having more than one tRNA (with a specific anti-codon) for a particular amino acid; and 'wobble' base-pairing, i.e. permitting non-standard base-pairing at the 3rd anti-codon position. Lineage: Archaea; Nanobdellati; Candidatus Woesearchaeota. The record is from RNAcentral.